This is a long non-coding RNA of Suricata suricatta (meerkat), 603 nucleotides long. RefSeq lists it as uncharacterized. The record is from RefSeq and is a predicted model, not a curated record. The transcript is spliced from 3 exons. Lineage: Eukaryota; Metazoa; Chordata; Mammalia; Carnivora; Herpestidae.
GGUGAGACGCCCAGGGCUCAGGGCCCUCCUAAGCCCCUUCUGGUCCUUUACCAGAUGAAGAUGCUGUCCCAGAAUUACCGGUCGCUGGUAAUUACCAUUUGAAUGAUGGCCGUAAUGUGCCGGAAUCCAUCUCCGGCUCCACCACCCAUCAGUCCCUGGCCCAUCUCGGCCCAUCUCUCGUUGCUGGAGAGGGAGGGACCAUCUUAUCUUCCUUUUACAGAGGAGGAGACCAACGUCCAGAGUGGUUAAGACAUUGGCCCAAGGUCACACAGCGGUGGAGCCUGUCAGUAUCUGGUUCCAGAGCCCUUCCUUAGUCUGCAUCAUUUUCUCUAAACCCUUCUGGAGAGAUUCAGACCUCACCCACCCUCAGGAGAGUGAGAGAGACAGGUGGGAGCAGGGCCUCUUGCUGGGUGGUGCCCUGCACCAGUCUGUGUCUGAGCAUUGAGAGCCAGAGUGAUGGGGGCCAGCCCUGGGAGGUUUGUCCUGCUGGCUGGCAGGACCAUCAGAAGGUUCAUGUCACAGUGGCUAAUGAGAAAUAACAGUAACAACAUUGAUUGGCUUAUUCAGUCUUCAGCCCUGUGAAGUGGGCCAUUGUAUGUUCGC